This is a non-coding RNA of Cherax quadricarinatus, 464 nucleotides long. The record is from RefSeq and is a predicted model, not a curated record. Lineage: Eukaryota; Metazoa; Arthropoda; Malacostraca; Decapoda; Parastacidae.
CGGGGAACCAGGAGACUAGUGGCGUCCGGGGGAGGAGAGGUUGCCAUAUUGGAAUGGAGGAACAAGACUACAUUGUAAUUUGUGGGAACUCCUGGGUAUUUCCGGAGGCUUAUUGGGCUCAGGCCUCCCAAAUAGGAGUAAGGCAAAUCCUAAUUAUCGUCCUGCGGAAAUUGUGAUGACAGAGACUUGGCAGGACUUCGAAAAUAGUGGUGGAAUUGGGAAAUAUGGAGGGACACCGGUUCCGGUAUACGUGUAGAGAGGAUUGUGGGUGUCGGAGGGGAGAUUCUCCAGAGACCUGGAAUCUCCAAAAUUCCCACAUACCUCAGAGGUGCAACAAAAUCGUGAAGGUGUUGUCCCGAGACGCAUGACGCAACUCGCAAGAUGUCGCCCGCCUACCUAUCUACAUCGAUUCCCAAUGGCCUCUCAAUGCCUUCUGAAAUAAAGUUAGUAAUUUACACUCUUCA